AGUGAACGCUGGCGGUAGGCCUAACACAUGCAAGUCGAACGGCAGCACAGUAAGAGCUUGCUCUUACGGGUGGCGAGUGGCGGACGGGUGAGGAAUACAUCGGAAUCUACUUUUUCGUGGGGGAUAACGUAGGGAAACUUACGCUAAUACCGCAUACGACCUACGGGUGAAAGCAGGGGACCUUCGGACCUUGCGCGAUUGAAUGAGCCGAUGUCGGAUUAGCUAGUUGGCGGGGUAAAGGCCCACCAAGGCGACGAUCCGUAGCUGGUCUGAGAGGAUGAUCAGCCCAACUGGAACUGAAACACGGUCCAGACUCCUACGGGAGGCAGCAGUGGGGAAUAUUGGACAAUGGGCGCAAGCCUGAUCCAGCCAUACCGCGUGGGUGAAGAAGGCCUUCGGGUUGUAAAGCCCUUUUGUUGGGAACGAAAAGCAGCAGGUUAAUACCCCGCUGUUCUGACGGUACCCAAAGAAUAAGCACCGGCUAACUUCGUG
RNAcentral lists this ribosomal RNA (492 nucleotides) under uncultured bacterium. RNAcentral's name for it is "partial 16S ribosomal RNA". It matches the Rfam family "Bacterial small subunit ribosomal RNA", at positions 29 to 507 of the family's 1533-position model. The record is from RNAcentral.